This 474-nucleotide ribosomal RNA is filed under the name uncultured bacterium. RNAcentral describes it as "partial 16S ribosomal RNA". It matches the Rfam family "Bacterial small subunit ribosomal RNA", at positions 328 to 794 of the family's 1533-position model. The record is from RNAcentral.
UUGCCAGACUCCUACGGGAGGCAGCAGUGGGGAAUAUUGCGCAAUGGGCGAAAGCCUGACGCAGCGACGCCGCGUGAGGGAUGAAGGUCUUCGGAUCGUAAACCUCUGUCAGCAGGGAAGAACGGUCACUGUGCUAAUCAGCAGUGAAUUGACGGUACCUGAGUAAGAAGCUCCGGCUAAAUACGUGCCAGCAGCCGCGGUAAUACGUAUGGAGCAAGCGUUAUCCGGAUUUACUGGGUGUAAAGGGAGCGUAGGCGGCCUGCCAAGUCUGAUGUGAAAUACCGGGGCUCAGCCCCGGGGCUGCAUUGGAAACUGGCAGGCUGGAGUGUCGGAGAGGCAGGCGGAAUUCCUAGUGUAGCGGUGAAAUGCGUAGAUAUUAGGAGGAACACCAGUGGCGAAGGCGGCCUGCUGGACGAUGACUGACGCUGAGGCUCGAAAGCGUGGGGAGCAAACAGGAUUAGAUACCCCCGUAAA